CGGCCUGCGGGAGCUUUAACAUGCAGUCGAACGGCAGCGCGAAGAAAGCUUGCUUUCUUUGGCGGCGAGUGGCGAACGGGUGAGUAAUAUAUCGGAACGUGCCCAGUAGCGGGGGAUAACUACGCGAAAGCGUGGCUAAUACCGCAUACGCCCUACGGGGGAAAGGGGGGGAUCGCAAGACCUCUCACUAUUGGAGCGGCCGAUAUCAGAUUAGCUUGUUGGUGAGGUAAAGGCUCACCAAGGCCGCGAUCUGUAGCUGGUUUGAGAGGACGACCAGCCACACUGGGACUGAGACACGGCCCAGACUCCUACGGGAGGCAGCAGUGGGGAAUUUUGGACAAUGGGGGAAACCCUGAUCCAGCCAUCCCGCGUGUGCGAUGAAGGCCUUCGGGUUGUAAAGCACUUUUGGCAGGGAAGAAAAGGCGCCGGAUAAUACCUGGCGCCGCUGACGGUACCUGCAGAAUAAGCACCGGCUAACUACGUGCCAGCAGCCGCGGUAAUACGUAGGGUGCAAGCGUUAAUCGGAAUUACUGGGCGUAAAGCGUGCGCAGGCGGUUCGGAAAGAAAGAUGUGAAAUCCCAGGGCUUAACCUUGGAACUGCAUUUUUAACUGCCGGGCUAGAGUAUGUCAGAGGGGGGUAGAAUUCCACGUGUAGCAGUGAAAUGCGUAGAGAUGUGGAGGAAUACCGAUGGCGAAGGCAGCCCCCUGGGAUAAUACUGACGCUCAUGCACGAAAGCGUGGGGAGCAAGCAGGAUUAGAUACCCUGGUAGUCCACGCCCUAAACGAUGUCAACUAGCUGUUGGGGCCUUCGGGCCUUAGUAGCGCAGCUAACGCGUGAAGGUUGACCGCCUGGGGGAGUACGGUCGCAAGAUUAAAACUCAUAGGAAUUUGACGGGGACCGCGCACAAGCGGUGGAUGAUGUGGAUUAAUUCGAUGCAACGCGGAGAGACCUUACCUACCCUUGACAUGUCUGGGAGCUUCAUAGAUUGAAGUGUGCUCGCAGAAGAACCGGAACCACAGUGCUGCAUGGCUGUCGUCAGCUUCGUGUCGUGAGGAUGUUGGGGUUAAGUACCCGCAACGAGCGCACCCUGUCAUGAGUUGCUACGGAAAGGGCACUCUACUCGAACUGCCAGUGACAACCGAGGCAGGUGAGAGUACGGUCGAGGUCGUCAGUGCGUAUGCGUGAGGCGUCCGAACGUCUCACAUGUUCGGACGAGGGUGCCUGAUCGGCGAAGGCAUCAAUUCCGAGGAUGCCGAAGUCG
RNAcentral lists this ribosomal RNA (1262 nucleotides) under Pusillimonas sp. RNAcentral describes it as "bacterial SSU rRNA". It matches the Rfam family "Bacterial small subunit ribosomal RNA", at positions 34 to 1291 of the family's 1533-position model. Lineage: Bacteria; Pseudomonadati; Pseudomonadota; Betaproteobacteria; Burkholderiales; Alcaligenaceae. The record is from RNAcentral.